This is a long non-coding RNA of Peromyscus eremicus (cactus mouse), 458 nucleotides long. RefSeq lists it as uncharacterized. The transcript has 2 exons. Lineage: Eukaryota; Metazoa; Chordata; Mammalia; Rodentia; Cricetidae. The record is from RefSeq and is a predicted model, not a curated record.
UGGGGACAUUCCAAUCUUAGGAGUAGUCGGCCUUCCCGAAGAUCAUCACUUAAGAUACAGUUCUUCAUUCAAGAACACGUUUUCCCAAAAGACGACUGUUUUUAUGUUAUUCGCGUAGCACAGAAGUCCUCCAAUACCAGAAAAGCAAAAAAGUAGAAAAGAAAGGCCACCAGCAAAGAUGAUCUGCUUAAAGCUGCCGAGAGUGAGGGUACUGAUUGUUCAUUCUCUGGAAAUGAACCUUCAGGAAAAAUCUUCAGGGAGGAGGUGACUUUUAAUCCAAAGCAGUUACCUACAUACCUGAGCUUGUGGUCCCUUCUUUCUUCAAAGCAAGGCAUUGCAGUUUAUUCUUGUAAUACCGGCAUUGGAGAGACUGUGGCAGAAGUUGGAGGCCAGCCUGAGCUACAGAACGAGUUCCAGGCCAGCCUGUCUCAAAUAUAAAUAAAGAAAAUAACCCAGCA